CCCUUAGAUGUCCGGGGCCGCACGCGCGCUACACUGAAGGAAUCAGCGUGGCUUUCUCCCUGACCCGAAAGGGUUAGGAAACCCGUUGAAUCUCCUUCGUGAUAGGGAUUGGGGCUUGAAAUUGUUCCCCAUGAACGAGGAAUUCCCAGUAAGCGCGAGUCAUAAGCUCGCGUUGAUUACGUCCCUGCCCUUUGUACACACCGCCCGUCGCUACUACCGAUUGAACGGUUUAGUGAGGGCCUCGGAUUGGUCUCGGCCCGCUCUUUACCGGGCGGCGCCGUUGGUCGAGAAGACGCUCGAACUUGAUCGUUUAGAGGAAGUAAAAGUCGUAACA
RNAcentral lists this ribosomal RNA (334 nucleotides) under uncultured eukaryote. RNAcentral's name for it is "partial 18S ribosomal RNA". It matches the Rfam family "Eukaryotic small subunit ribosomal RNA", at positions 1470 to 1796 of the family's 1831-position model. The record is from RNAcentral.